UAUGUUAAUUAAUUACACAGGCUAGUAUGUGUAGUGACGUAUUAAUACUAACAUUUAAAACUAUAAAUUCUAGUAAUUUUACUAGAAAUAAAAAUGUGAAGCACUUGUUAUUUACCUAAAUGUAAGGUACCCCUUAGACCCUUACAUUUGUGUAUUAAUAAAAAAAAAAAAAAAAGUAAUUGUCUAUGUAGUGUUCAAAUAUAUUAUUCAGUAUGAAGCAUGGCUUCAGUUUAUGUAUGUAAAUUAUGAGGUAAAAUUGAAUGAAUAUUCAUGAGAAUAAAGAAAGCAAAAAGGUGGAGUUUUAUGGUAUGAAAGUUUAAGAUGUGUGAUAUUUGAUUUAGUUUGUGAUAAGACUUUUCUGUUUGAUAAGAAUUAAAAUGUUAGAGAAAGAGUUGUUUUAUUACAGUUAUAACAAUAAACCUCCUGUAG
This 429-nucleotide long non-coding RNA is filed under the name Mytilus galloprovincialis (Mediterranean mussel). The record is from RNAcentral. Lineage: Eukaryota; Metazoa; Mollusca; Bivalvia; Mytilida; Mytilidae.